UCUAUAUGCAAACAAAUGAGAAGUUGAGUUUUGAGAGGGGAUGGGUCUGCGUGAGCAUCGAAUUGCUGCUCGCCUUCAGCACCAGGCUCCUUGCAAACUGCCUUAAAGCUACCCAUAAAAUCCCUGCCAAGAAGAACGUGCUCGUCACUGCACGGGAUGAAAUGCAGACGAGCAGAAGACGGGCAGCGGCCGCUCCAGUUACAGGGAUACAUACAUGCAAGCCUGUUGUACACAGCAAUCCAUUUCCAUUUGAAGGAUGUAACCCUGCCACAUGGAGGGCACUGGUCAUUGCAGCUCAGCCCGAAUCCCUCUUGCAUGUUUCUUGGAGGAACCUGGCUAGGAAGAACCAAGACGAGGUUAGUUCAAACUACCUGUGAUAAGAUCUCUUUCUUUA
This is a long non-coding RNA of Numida meleagris (helmeted guineafowl), 394 nucleotides long. The record is from Ensembl. Lineage: Eukaryota; Metazoa; Chordata; Aves; Galliformes; Numididae.